AGCCAACCAAUCAGAAAUGCAGGCGCAGUCAACACUCGUGAGGAGCCUAGGCGUUGAGAGCUGGGCAACCAAUCACACGGUAAUUGUAUGCACCCAUGCACAGGUCGAGGAGGCUCCUGUGUCUAAUUGUGUGCAGCAAGUCAAAGAGUCUCGAUUGAGCCUAGCAUGAGCAAUAGGGGCCACUCAGGC
Molecule: non-coding RNA, 189 nt
Filed under: Zea mays
Lineage: Eukaryota; Viridiplantae; Streptophyta; Magnoliopsida; Poales; Poaceae
Source: RNAcentral